This is a long non-coding RNA of Cebus imitator (Panamanian white-faced capuchin), 518 nucleotides long. RefSeq lists it as uncharacterized. Lineage: Eukaryota; Metazoa; Chordata; Mammalia; Primates; Cebidae. The transcript has 2 exons. The record is from RefSeq and is a predicted model, not a curated record.
CCCCAUCUCUCCCCUGCUCUCUUGCCCUUCAAGCCUUCCGCCAUGUGAAGAUGUAGCAAGACGCCCUCGCUAGAUGUGGGCCCCUUAACUUUAGACUUCUCAGUUUCCAGAACGUGCCGCUUUCUAGAACCAACUCUGAGGACUUUAACCGAGGCUGAGUGACACACAAGAGGAGCAGCAGCCCUAAAGGAAGCCCGCCUACCCUGGAGGAUGCCUUCCACUUCAGAUAGGCCAGAAAGCCAGUCCCUUCCUAAGCACACCACAGGAGAACCCUGUAGUCCUCCACAGAGAAGGUGUCUGUCAAGCAAGAAGGUGACUGUGAACCCAGAACGUUCUGUUUGAUUCUGGCCUCUCCCCAUGCUUCUCAAUGUGGAUUCUAACUUGCAGUGACAUCAGGAACAAAGCCAUUACAUUCUCUCUGUACCUUUGCUGGGUCCUUUUAAAUAAAGCAGGACAAAACAGAAAGGGACUUCACAUAGUUUAUGAAGAAAAGUUCAAAAAAAAAAAAAAAGUGAAAA